GUGGGGAAUCUUGCGCAAUGGGCGAAAGCCUGACGCAGCCAUGCCGCGUGAAUGAUGAAGGUCUUAGGAUUGUAAAAUUCUUUCACCGGGGACGAUAAUGACGGUACCCGGAGAAGAAGCUCCGGCUAACUUCGUGCCAGCAGCCGCGGUAAUACGAAGGGGGCUAGCGUUGCUCGGAAUUACUGGGCGUAAAGGGCGCGUAGGCGGACAGCUUAGUCAGAGGUGAAAGCCCAGGGCUCAACCUUGGAAUUGCCUUUGAUACUGGCUGUCUUGAGUUUGGGAGAGGUGAGUGGAACUCCGGGUGUAGAGGUGAAAUUCGUAGAUAUUCGGAAGAACACCAGUGGCGAAGGCGACUCACUGGCCCAAUACUGACGCUGAGGCGCGAAAGCGUGGGGAGCAAACAGGAUUAGAUACGUGUAGUCC
Molecule: ribosomal RNA, 423 nt
Filed under: uncultured bacterium
Lineage: Bacteria
Description: partial 16S ribosomal RNA
Rfam family: Bacterial small subunit ribosomal RNA
Source: RNAcentral